CGAUGCCCCAGUGCCCCAUCCCGUCGUAUGACGCCAGGAUCCACCUCGGGCUGUCAUCACCACGCGAGAUGGACCACUGCUGCCAGCAGCCACCCGACUGCGAGACCAUCACUUGUCCGGGACAGCUCGAGGCAGCACGCGACGCCAAUGGAACUUGCCACAGAUGCACGGGGCGUCAGGAGAAGGGCGGCGCUGACCAGGCUGCAGUGACGUCGUGCAACGACCUUGUGCCGGGGAUCGACCUGAUCGAC
This 251-nucleotide unclassified non-coding RNA is filed under the name Dermacentor andersoni. Its description in RNAcentral is "uncharacterized LOC126516790". Lineage: Eukaryota; Metazoa; Arthropoda; Arachnida; Ixodida; Ixodidae. The record is from RNAcentral.